AACUUUUAACAACGGAUCACUUGGUUCUGGCAUCGAUGAAGAACCCAGCGAAAUGCGAUAAGUAGUGUGAAUUGCAGAAUUCAGUGAAUCAUCGAAUCUUUGAACGCACAUUGCGCCCCUUGGUAUUCCAUGGGGCAUGCCUGUUCGAGCGUCAUUUAUACCUUCAAGCCUAGCUUGGUGUUGGGUGUUUUGUUCUAGUGUAGAACUCGCCUUAAAAGCAUUGGCAGCCGAUUAUAUAGAGGUAACGCGCAGUACAUUUGCGAGGUUGGCUCUAUAUAUCAGCAUCCACAAGUAUUAUUAUCUUGACCUCGGAUCAGGUAGGGAUACCCGCUGAACUUAAGCAUAUCAAUAAGCGGAGGCU
This 361-nucleotide unclassified non-coding RNA is filed under the name uncultured Pleosporales. Its description in RNAcentral is "sequence contains ITS2". The stretch from base 1 to 154 matches the Rfam family "5.8S ribosomal RNA". The record is from RNAcentral. Lineage: Eukaryota; Fungi; Ascomycota; Dothideomycetes; Pleosporales.